AAGACUGGAUAGGAAAUUAGAAGGCAUCUUUUAAUUUUUAAAAGACCUUUUUCGAAAGGUAUACUUAAAGAGGGGCUUGCGGCACAUUAGUUAGUUGGUAGGGUAAAAGCCUACCAAGACCAUGAUGUGUAGCUGGACUGAGAGGUUGAACAGCCACAUUGGGACUGAGACACGGCCCAAACUCCUACGGGAGGCAGCAGUAGGGAAUUUUCGGCAAUGGAGGAAACUCUGACCGAGCAACGCCGCGUGAACGAUGAAGUAUUUCGGUAUGUAAAGUUCUUUUAUUGAAGAAGAAAAAAUAGUGGAAAAACUAUCUUGACGAUAUUCAAUGAAUAAGCCCCGGCAAACUAUGUGCCAGCAGCCGCGGUAAUACAUAGGGGGCGAGCGUUAUCCGGAAUUAUUGGGCGUAAAGGGUGCGUAGGCGGUUUGGUAAGUCUAUAGUUUAAUUUCAGUGCUUAACACUGUUCUGCUAUAGAAACUAUCAGACUAGAGUGAGAUAGAGGCAAGUGGAAUUCCAUGUGUAGCGGUAAAAUGCGUAAAUAUAUGGAGGAACACCAGAGGCGUAGGCGGCUUGCUGGGUCUUUACUGACGCUGAGGCACGAAAGCGUGGGGAGCAAACAGGAUUAGAUACCCUGGUAGUCCACGCCGUAAACGAUGAGUACUAAGUGUCGGGGAAACUCGGUACUGAAGUUAACACAUUAAGUACUCCGCCUGAGUAGUACGUACGCAAGUAUGAAACUUAAAGGAAUUGACGGGACUCCGCACAAGCGGUGGAUCAUGUUGUUUAAUUCGAAGAUACACGAAAAACCUUACCAGGUCUUGACAUACUCUGCAAAGCUAUAGCAAUAUAGUGGAGGUUAUCAGGGAUACAGGUGGUGCAUGGUUGUCGUCAGCUCGUGUCGUGAGAUGUUAGGUUAAGUCCUAAAACGAGCGCAACCCUUGUCACUAGUUGCCAGCAUGUUAUGAUGGGCACUUUAGUGAGACUGCCAAUGAAAAAUUGGAGGAAGGUGAGGAUCACGUCAAAUCAUCAUGCCCCUUAUGAUCUGGGCUACAAACGUGAUACAAUGGCUGUUACAAAGAGUAGCUAAAACGCGAGUUUAUAGCCAAUCUCAUAAAAGCAGUCUCAGUUCGGAUUGAAGUCUGCAACUCGACUUCAUGAAGUUGGAAUCGCUAGUAAUCGCGAAUCAGCAUGUCGCGGUGAAUACGUUCUCGGGGUUUGUACACACCGCCCGUCAAACCACGAAAGUUGGUAAUACUCAAAAACGGUAGCCUAACUUCUUCGGAAGAGGGAACUGUCUAAGGUAGGAUCGAUGAUUGGGGUUAAGUCGUAACAAG
Molecule: ribosomal RNA, 1335 nt
Filed under: Candidatus Phytoplasma cynodontis
Lineage: Bacteria; Bacillati; Mycoplasmatota; Mollicutes; Acholeplasmatales; Acholeplasmataceae
Also listed under: 1 other name
Description: bacterial SSU rRNA
Rfam family: Bacterial small subunit ribosomal RNA
Source: RNAcentral